CUCGCUGGGCGUCUCUUGCUCGCUCCCGACAGCCGCGGUGACCAGGCCGCUGAGAGCCGGCGGUGCAGCGCAUCCUCAUUGGUGGAAGCUGGAGGCAGGAGCCAGAGGCGGGUAUUGAACCCAGCUGUUCCAGUAUGAGAUUUGGGCAAGAGACCUAACAAUUAGAUGAUUGCAAUGGAAGCAAAAACUGACUUCAGCCUACUUCACCCCAGUGAGUUUGCUGGACUCUCCAAAUCCUGUUUGGCUAAUGGUGAGGUCACUCCCAGAUACCACUGGGAGUGUCUUGGAAGAUCACUCACUCAGAACCACCCAGUACUGAAGGGAAGUGGUGACAGGCUGGCCAAGCGGCACAGAGACAAAGCCAGACACAUUCAGUCUUUGUUUCAGUGAGAUAAGGGGAGACCACUGUACGCCAUCGAGAAAACGAAAGGACAGUACAAACGUUGGUUGAGGGUGGCGGAGCAAGCCCACCGGCAGAGCAAGAGAUGCUGACGUUGGUAGCCAAUUAAGGCCCAGAGGUGUGUGGCGAAGGCACCGAUAGUACAGCUCCACAGUCCCAGACUCAGCAGGUUGGGCCUUCUGGCCCCAAAAUGCGAAGACAGUGUUAUGAAAACAGAUGGAAAAACCAAACCUUGUUCUUCUCCAGAUUCCAAGCCCCAGAGUCUCUAUCACACGAAUCAGAAAUGGUGCUGGCGUCAUGGUGUAGUGAGAAAAGCUGCUGCCUGUGAUGCUGGCAUUCCAUUUGGGCACCGAUUUGAAUCCCAGCUGCUCCACUUCUGAUCAAGCUCCCUACUAAUGCGCCUGAGAAAGCAGAGAAAGAUGACCCAAGUGCUUGGGCCCCUGCCACCCUCGUGGGAGACCCAGAAGAAGCUCCUGGUUCCUGGUUUCAGCCUGGCCCAGCAGCCAUUUGGGAAGCGAACCAGCAGAUUGGAAGAUCUCUUUCUCUUUCUGUCUCCCCACCCCUCUGUAACUGCCUUUCAAAUAAAUAAAUAAAUAAUUUAAAAAACAC
This is a long non-coding RNA of Lepus europaeus (European hare), 1009 nucleotides long. RefSeq lists it as uncharacterized. Lineage: Eukaryota; Metazoa; Chordata; Mammalia; Lagomorpha; Leporidae. The transcript has 7 exons. The record is from RefSeq and is a predicted model, not a curated record.